This 36-nucleotide non-coding RNA is filed under the name Trypanosoma brucei brucei. The record is from RNAcentral. Lineage: Eukaryota; Euglenozoa; Kinetoplastea; Trypanosomatida; Trypanosomatidae.
AUACAACAAAGAACGUCAUAAGUAAGAUAGAUUUGA